GAGAGAUUGCAAGUAGGCAGAGCAGCAGGCAGAGGCAGAGGGAGAAGCAGACUCCUUGCUGAGCAAGGGACCCAACAUAGGACUCGAUCCCAAGACCCGAGGAUCCUGACCUGAGCUGAAGGCAAAGGCUUAACCCACCGAGCCAUCCAGGCAUCCCUGGGGGCCCCGAUAUUAAUAAGCAAGCAUCCAGUCAUUAUAUUUCUCUUCAUUCACUUCCACUUUUUUGACCCUGUCUGUGCCCCGCAGUUUCCUCGGCGCGGAUAUUGUAACUCAGUAGGACAAAGUUCACGCCUGAAUUGAAAUGCGCUUUGUUCACCUGAACUAAACAAAUAAUUACAUAACGUAAAGUCACAGAAUGGUCACGGCUACAGUGGAAAGAAAGUAAAGCAAGGCAAAGGCAGCUGAUGCAGACAGCAGCGUGGGAGGGAGCGUUCUCGGAGGAAGGGACACCUGUUCAGGGACCCGCACGGACUGAAGAAGAGCCAGAGCCGUGUAGUUAUCCGUGAAUGAGCUGGUGGUCUUGUGCAGAAAGGGUGGUCCGUGAGCUGUAGGGGUAAGCUGCUCUCCCAGUAGCAUAACACCAUGAGAGAGUCUGCUGCUUUUAUCAGGAGCACCAAUGGCCAAGCCCGAGGCCGCGUGCGCUGGAUGGUCUAAUGAGGAGCAGACAAGGUCCCUGUCCCCCAGGAGCUGCGGAGGGUCUGGGAGAGAAGGCGCGCACCCUCAGCUGCCUUGCAGGGCAGUCUGGGAUGCCCCUGGCCGUCGUUGGAAGCUCCUACCAAGCAGGGCCUUUGGUAACUCCCUUUGUGUCAGCCACAACCUUGAGCCUGAGCUGUCAGGUGGGCAGACCCUUCCCACCAGGGUAAAAGGAAAUUCCUGGGGUGCUCUGGGAUAACACUGGCAUCUCAGGGUAACUAGAC
RNAcentral lists this long non-coding RNA (917 nucleotides) under Mustela putorius furo (domestic ferret). RNAcentral's name for it is "lncRNA (ENSMPUG00000030744.1)". The record is from RNAcentral. Lineage: Eukaryota; Metazoa; Chordata; Mammalia; Carnivora; Mustelidae.